AUAAAUAAUAUUCAUAAUUAUAAUUAUAUAUUUUUAUAUAAACAAAAUUAAGUAGUAAUAUAAAAGUUAUAUUAUAAUAUUUAAUACUAUUCUUAAAACUAAAAUUGAUGUGUCAUUCGAUAACACAGUGAAUCAAUCAAUAUAUGAUUUUGAAAUUUGAAUGAAAUUAUAAAACUAAUUUAUUUUGAAAUUGUAAAAUUUUUUUAGAUUCUAUUGGUGCAUUAUCUAUUAAAUUGAUGAAGGCUUCAGUAAACCCUAAGAACUAUAAUUAUUGUCGCUGGUUUUUAAUGUUAAAACCUAAAAUAACUCUUAGAUCAGCGGACGUCCGUGAUUGUUAAGUAAUUUGGUUUUCGGGCCCAGGAAUAGUCAUAAUUCGGUUUAAAGAGAGAGAGAGAGAAAAAACUGAGAAGUUCGUCACGUGGUACUAUUACACGACUGGGCCUUCAGCCAUUCUGUAAGCUUUGCAAUAGUGUAUAAUAAACCUACACACAGCUCUAAAACGAGCCACCACUAAUGGUCGUGUAUAAUAAAUUGCCGAUGCGUAAAAAAAGGGUCUAAAAAUAUGCCAACCGGAACGACUGUGGUAGUUUCUCUGAAACAGCUUCAACAUGUUUAUAUAUUAUAUAAUAUAUAUAAAGCAGCUUCUACUGUGAUUGAAAGUUCUUUUGUCGUACAAAUGUACAAUAUAUUAUAAUUUAUAGAUAAAUUCUUCAUGCCUACACAAUAAUACGUAAAUUUACCUGGAAGAAUUCACAAUAAUAUUAUAUUGUAUAAUUUACAGAGAGAUUAACACAUUUUUUAAUAUUGAUACAUUAUAUA
Molecule: long non-coding RNA, 819 nt
Organism: Metopolophium dirhodum (rose-grain aphid)
Lineage: Eukaryota; Metazoa; Arthropoda; Insecta; Hemiptera; Aphididae
Exons: 3
Source: RefSeq, a predicted model, not a curated record